Molecule: ribosomal RNA, 438 nt
Filed under: uncultured bacterium
Lineage: Bacteria
Description: bacterial SSU rRNA
Rfam family: Bacterial small subunit ribosomal RNA
Source: RNAcentral
AGAGUUUGUCCUGGCUCAGAGCGAACGCUGGCGGCAUGCUUAACACAUGCAAGUCGCACGGUCAGCAAUGGCAGUGGCGGACGGGUGAGUAACGCGUAGGAAUCUAUCUCUGGGUGGGGGACAACCGUGGGAAACUACGGCUAAUACCGCAUGAUACCUGAGGGUCAAAGGCGUAAGUCGCCUGGAGAGGAGCCUGCGUCUGAUUAGCUAGUUGGUGGGGUAAAGGCUUACCAAGGCGACGAUCAGUAGCUGGUCUGAGAGGAUGAUCAGCCACAUUGGGACUGAGACACGGCCCAAACUCCUACGGGAGGCAGCAGUGGGGAAUAUUGGACAAUGGGCGCAAGCCUGAUCCAGCAAUGCCGCGUGUGUGAAGAAGGUCUUCGGAUUGUAAAGCACUUUUGGCAGGGACGAUGAUGACGGUACCUGCAGAAUAAGCCC